RNAcentral lists this ribosomal RNA (442 nucleotides) under uncultured bacterium. Its description in RNAcentral is "partial 16S ribosomal RNA". It matches the Rfam family "Bacterial small subunit ribosomal RNA", at positions 338 to 795 of the family's 1533-position model. The record is from RNAcentral.
CCUACGGGAGGCUGCAGUAGGGAAUCUUUCACAAUGGGCGAAAGCCUGAUGGAGCAACGCCGCGUGCAGGAUGAAGGCCUUCGGGUUGUAAACUGCUUUUAUAAGCGAGAAAUAUGAUGGUAACUUAUGAAUAAGGAUCGGCUAACUACGUGCCAGCAGCCGCGGUCAUACGUAGGAUCCGAGCAUUAUCCGGAGUGACUGAGUGUAAAGAGUUGCGUAGGUGACAUAAUAAUUAGCUAGUGAAAUCGGGUGGCUCAACCAUUCAGACUAUUAGCUAAACUGUUAAGCUCGAGACCGUUAGGGGUAACUGGAAUUUCUAGUGUAGGAGUGAAAUCCGUAGAUAUUAGAAGGAACACCAAUAGCGUAGGCAGGUUACUGGGACGGUUCUGACACUAAGGCACGAAAGCGUAGGGAGCAAACGGGAUUAGAUACCCUUGUAGUC